Molecule: transfer RNA, 72 nt
Filed under: Ovis aries (sheep)
Lineage: Eukaryota; Metazoa; Chordata; Mammalia; Artiodactyla; Bovidae
Rfam family: tRNA
About the family: Transfer RNA (tRNA) molecules are approximately 80 nucleotides in length. Their secondary structure includes four short double-helical elements and three loops (D, anti-codon, and T loops).
Source: Rfam by way of RNAcentral
UCCCUGGUGGUCCAGUGGUUAAGACUCUGUGAUCCCAAUGCAGGAUCCCAGGUUCAAUCCCUGGUUAGGGAA